Molecule: ribosomal RNA, 253 nt
Filed under: uncultured bacterium
Lineage: Bacteria
Description: partial 16S ribosomal RNA
Rfam family: Bacterial small subunit ribosomal RNA
Source: RNAcentral
UACGUAGGGGGCGAGCGUUGUCCGGAUUUAUUGGGCGUAAAGAGCGUGUAGGCGGCCAGGUAGGUCUGCUGUGAAAACUCGAGGCUCAACCUCGAGACGUCGGCGGAAACCAUCUGGCUAGAGUCCGGAAGAGGAGAGUGGAAUUCCUGGUGUAGCGGUGAAAUGCGCAGAUAUCAGGAAGAACACCCGUGGCGAAGGCGGCUCUCUGGGCCAACACUGACGCUCAGGCACGAAAGCGUGGGGAGCAAACAGG